This 253-nucleotide ribosomal RNA is filed under the name uncultured bacterium. RNAcentral describes it as "partial 16S ribosomal RNA". It matches the Rfam family "Bacterial small subunit ribosomal RNA", at positions 524 to 776 of the family's 1533-position model. The record is from RNAcentral.
UACGUAGGGUGCAAGCGUUGUCCGGAAUUAUUGGGCGUAAAGAGCUCGUAGGCGGUUUGUCGCGUCUGCUGUGAAAUCCCAGGGCUUAACCCUGGGCCUGCAGUGGGUACGGGCAAACUAGAGUGCGGUAGGGGAGAUCGGAAUUCCUGGUGUAGCGGUGAAAUGCGCAGAUAUCGGGAGGAACACCGGUGGCGAAGGCGGUUCUCUGGGCCUUACCUGACGCUGAGGAGCGAAAGCGUGGGGAGCGAACAGG